Molecule: ribosomal RNA, 425 nt
Filed under: uncultured bacterium
Lineage: Bacteria
Description: partial 16S ribosomal RNA
Rfam family: Bacterial small subunit ribosomal RNA
Source: RNAcentral
GUUAGGAAUAUUGGACAAUGGGCGCAAGCCUGAUCCAGCCAUGCCGCGUGAGUGAUGAAGGCCUUCGGGUUGUAAAGCUCUUUAGCCGAUGAUUAUAAUGACUGUAGUCGGAAAAUAAGCCCCGGCUAACUUCGUGCCAGCAGCCGCGGUAAUACGAAGGGGGCGAGCGUUAUUCGGAAUCACUGGGCGUAAAGCGUGCGUAGGCGGCUUUGCAAGUUGGGAGUGAGAGCCCAGGGCUCAACCCUGGAAGUGCUCUCAAAACUGCAAGGCUCGAAUUCGGGAGAGGAUAGCGGAAUUGUCAGUGUAGCAGUGAAAUGCGUAGAUAUUGACAGGAACACCAGUGGCGUAAGCGGCUAUCUGGACCGGUAUUGACGCUGAGGCACGAAAGCGUGGGGAUCAAACAGGAUUAGAUACCCGUGUAGUCC